GGUUACGCGAGUUGUAAUUGAAUAAAAAACGUUUUAGUUCUUCGUGGACGUGCCUAUAGUACGUUCGUCGCAUUCGCGCUCACUAUACUCGGUGUAGGUAUACGAAGUUGGAAUGUGGCCCGGGAGACGGCCGACUUGAGUAACGUACCUAUAAACGCGAACGUCACCCCGCCGCACCGUAUUCGUGGAAGUUUUCAGUUUUACCUAGUGAUCAGUGAAAAACACAGCAGUACGUACGUUUCACCAUCCGCAAUGGGUCACAAAGACGAGUGGAAACCGUUGCUAGUAAACGGCAAUGUCACGGACCGUUCCAGGCCGGAUAAAGAACGGAUUACCAGUUACCGGAGUCUAGUGAGUAAACGCGUUUUUACUAUGCUUAAUAUUUAUUUAUUAUACCAUUGGAACCGACCAAAACUUAAUCUAGAUAUCAUAUAUAAUAGGUAGAUAGGAAUAGGUAUGUAAUUUAUAGACCAGCCCACUUGGAAGAUUUGCUUUUAAGGCUACCAUCAUUUUCACAUGAAGUUAAAUGUUGACGGAAUAGACGGACACAAUUUGUUAACUUAAAAUAUUAGACACCCUAACUUCAAUAGUUCUGUUUCAUAAAAUCAAAACUUAAAUUAAACAAUAUUUCUAAUUACUUGUGACAGCAGUAGACGUAACACCUCUCCCCAUCUCCGACUUCAUCCGCCAGUUUAACACCUACUAUAUCUAUUAUUAAUCUAACCUAAAGACCUAAUUUUUCUGUUAGUGAAAAAUAAUCACCCAAAAAAGAAAUCAAAUAAAUGUUUCACGUUUCUUUGAUAUCAUUCAAGAGUAUCCAUCUCAGAAGAUAACUCUUUAACCAUCCUUCUUUUAAGACAGCUAAGACAGUGAACUUGUGUUUUAAUAACUACUUCUGCAUUUUAUCGUGAUGUUAUUUAUAUAAUAUUUCAAUAUUAUGAAGUUUCGUAAUUAUUCAUAGUUAUUAUAAUAUUAAUUUCGUCAUACAUAUAAUUAAUAGUAAUUAAUAGCCGAAUUUAACAUGCAAUAUUAUUUUGUUUAAUGGAAAUACAAUUUGUCAUUAUUUAUUAUUUUAUGACAGAGAUUAUAAGGAUUAAAGGGGGCUGUGAGCCGUUAGAGUUCUCGAUCUCUCAAAUAAAAAAGGGGCCCUAUAAAAAAGUGUAAAACUACAACUCUUAAACAUCGUUUCUUAUUUUAUCUAUGCAGGUUUUUUUUCGGAAAAAUUAAAACCUUCGAAUUGAAUUAUCUCUAGUCCACUAAUUUCAUUAAUGACUUAACCUGGUCUAACCUAAUCUUUGCUUAAAGCGUUUCACUUUUAAUAAAAAAUCCAAACGUAAUUUGUUUUUGACCUGAGGUUUUUAGAGUAUAUUAUUAUUCUAAUGAUAUAACUGGUAUUAUUUUACUUGUUUUUUUCAUGUAUGACUUAAUAUACUUCCUAAUAGAAACAAUUACUCUCCUGCCAUCUGAUCUUGAGGAGGGAGUUAGGUUAGAUUAGUGAUGAAAACCACUAUUGUAAAGAUAAUUUUUUUUAGCCGAAAUUUAAACUAACGUAUAAACUAUGUAUCACCAAUCUAAAUUGUCAAUAAAUAAUUAUUGGAAUAAAACAAAGUUGAACUUUUUAUGGCUUUACUAAGUACUUACUAUUUAACACUUUAGAAAAUUCGAAAAUCUGGAAACAUUGAUUUUAAGCUUAAGUACCCAUCUAUACAAUUUAAGUUUAUUCAGUUUUAAUUUGAGUGUAUAAUACUAAUAAACCUAUAUUAUUGUAAUAAGAUGAAUAAAUUUGCUCGAAUUUCGAUAACCAAGUACCUAGUGAAGAUGAACUAAGUAAUUAAUUUUAGUUACACAAUACAAUUAUUAUAUAACUAAUGGUAUAAUUUUCUUCAACGCUGAUAAAAUAUUAAUACGAUGAGACUCAUGACAUAUUAUUAAUAGUAUAGCGUAUAGCCAUAUAGGUAUCACUUAACUAAUUUUAAUGAUGCACAACUGCGUAACUAAUGUAUAUUAUACAUUAGAAUGUGUUUAAACAAUAAAUAUAUAAUGUAUAUAUCUGUUUUUCUUUCAAAUCUGUAGCGACUUAAUGAAUAUAUUAUUAUUACGUCAUUGAGUCAUUCACAUUCCAUGUGGUUUUGCAUUUGAAUGUUUUAGUUUGUUUGAUUUGGAUAUUCAAAGAGGUUAUCUCAGCAAUGAACUAUAUUACACAGAAAUCGAUUGAAAUCCAAACGAUUAGGUCAGGUGAAGGGAUAAAUAAUUUUUGAUAACUAAGAUUAAUUAAAAUAUAUUCCCGUUUAAGUAUGAGAAAUCAUUAAUCAUUAAAAUAGUUACUAUAGUUUAUUUAUAAUUUAUUUAGCAUUGCUUACUUAAGUAUUUACUUAGUGCUUGAAUUGGAACGCAGGGGGACGGAACGCUUAUACUAUUUUUAUUUUUGUUGCCCUUUCUUUAAUAAUUAUUCUACUAGAUGGGCGGACGAUACGUCUCUUUGAGUAAAUAAUAUAGUCAAAGUCAAUCAUUGCAAGGUGAUCUACAUUUUGUAAUGUCUCAUAGUCCCCCUUUUUUUGCAAUUCACUGCUUGUACUACCUAAUAAUAUUUUAUUAAAUUUAUACUAGCUCUGUAGUUAUAUUUUUUAUUUACUAUUUUAUUUAGUUUCACAUAUAAAACAUAUUUUACUAAUACGUUGACCGCCAUGAGACCUUACCAUACUCUGUCCUAACCGCUAAUUGUUUUUUAUAAGUCUACUGAAAGAAAUUUCCGAUUACUUUUAAAAGUUAUAUUUCUUUUUAUUACUGUCUAUCUAGAAUAAUUUUUAUAUUUUUAAGUUAAUUUGACCUGAGAUCUUAAAUUAGAUUGCAUGGUUGUAGGAUAACUACUAUUCAAAAAAAAAAUUAUUAUUUUCAUAUCACCGUGAGAUCUCAAAUUAAAUCUCAUACUAAAAAAAUAUGUAUAACAAAACCUUAAAUAAAAUCUCAAAUACCUACAUAUUAUAAAAUUAUUUAUUGUGUGUUUACAGAUAUAGACAUAGGUAAUAAUAUAAAUAAAAAUAAUAAUACAAAUUAAAAUAAUUUAUGCCACUGUUUAAUCUAACAAUUUUAUUCGCAGAGUACCUACCGAAUAAACUACCAAAUUUGCAUAAAAAUUUUAAAUGACGAAAUCGUACGCCGUAAAUUUAUUCGUUUUCAUUAGAUUGAUAUAAAACAUAAAAAUAAUAAUACUUGUACUAAUAAUAGGUAUUGAAGAAAUCCACGCGCAAUAUACUUAUAUGAAUAUAUAAUAUCAUAAUAUAAUUAGCACAUUGUUCAAAAUUAAAACAUAGAUCAUAUUUAUGUCUACCUAAACCUAUUUUAUAUAAUAUCAAGUUUACCUAAUAGCGCAUACUAUAAUAAAGGUAUACAAAAGCAUACACAAAAAUAAAUCUCCCCGUUAUAAAUCAUUUUAAAAAUUAUUAUAAUAACCGACGCGGAUUAAGUUGGAAUUAUAAGUGAAUUCAGGCGGCAAAUACCAUCCAAAGUUAUAUAAAGAGGCUUAAAUGGUAUAUAUUGGCGGCAAACACGUUUCAAACUAACCGGUUUUUGCACGUUUCACACAACGUAUAUGAAUAUUAUAAUUUAUAAUAUUAUAUCUAAUAUCUAUAGUCUAUAGAAUUAUUAUACGAUAAGAAUAUAAUAGUAUUCGUAAACAUAUUCGAUAUAUUCUUUAAUGACUUUUUUUAUUGUAAUAUUACAAUUUGCUCGGGGAAUACACGUGUACAGAUAGAAACCCGAUACAAGGUGAGAGAGUUAUGAAUUCUCAUUUAUCAUUUGCAGUCGUUUCUGUCAAUUGAUACCUACUCCAAAAAGCCUAAAGUUUUUGUCAACAACUUUCCCAUUGCGCUUUAUUGGUGACAGUCAGACACUCGACCACAGAUACCUCUACAGUAUUGGUUUACACGUAGGUAUAGAACCCUUCGUCUUUGAUAUGGGUUCCAUCACGAUCAUGUAAUUUUUAAUAUUUUUUUUUCCACCCCGUAGACAUAAUAUAUAAUAAUAUAAUAUACACUAUAGUUUUCAAUAGAUCACUAUAGUUUAUUUAUUGUAGUAAUAUUUUAAGAUUAAAUCAUUUUAUUUGCCAUUUUAAACAUUAAAAUACAAUUCAUCACUCUGUAGCGUAGUGUAUUUUACAGUAAAAUUAUUAUAUAAUACGUAUAUGCAAAAAUCUGUCAGCAAUUUCUGAAAUAACCCUAGAUAACAAAUUUAUUUGCAACAGAUGUUAAAAUAAAAUAAAAUAAAUAUUGAUUUAUAUCAAUUAAUAUUUCGAUUUUCUAAAAAAAAAAAUGGAGAAAUAGUAUGAUUUUGUGAUCUUCGAUACAAAAAGUAUUAUUUUUGCCCAUUUCCAUAAACAAUUAACGUUUUAAAAAGACCUCCUAGGAUAAUGGAGACGGGAGCAGCCGAAUCACGGAAAAAAAAAUCCUUGAUAAUAAAUCCCCAAACCAACCUUACUGUCAAAAUUACAUGUAUAAAAAAAAAAUUAAUAUAGUUUAAUCAUCAAUGGUUUAAGUACAUAUUGUGCACACAACUGUCAAAAAUAAUAAUAAUAAAAAAUUUAAAAAAUAUAUAAUAUCGUAUGUAUAACCAUUAAAACAUAUUUUAUUUUUACCUUAUGAGAAUUUAGUUAUGUCCAUAGUUGCACAGUCACACAUUUCGAAAUUAGUCAAUAGGAAUUGAAGAAGUACUAACCGUAAUACCUAUGUAAUAACUAUUUCACAUUAUUUCACUAUUUAUAUUUCACAUUUGCUAAGAAAACUCCGGAGAAAAACGAUAAACGACCUCUCUAAAGUACCUCCCUAGUGAGUUUUCCUUUUAAAAGCAUUGCUAUGAUUAUAAGUUAAAGCAAAUUGCUGAUUGAAAAGUUGUGCACAGGAAAAAAAUUACGUAAUAUUCUAGAAUAUGUUUUGUACACUUUCCGGUUUUUCUUCAGUUUUUCGAUUUUUCAAAUUUAAUGGAAAAACUUUUGAGAAAAUCGAAACCUCCCUAAAGGACUUCCCGACACCGAUUUCUUUUCAGAAAAGAUACUACACUUUUAAUCUGAGCAAGUUUUCUGGUAUACGAGGUGUGGCUAUUUAAAAACGGGAAUUUUGUUAUAAAAAUAAUUUAUUUGUAAAAUUAUAAUUAUUAAAUGUGAUCCCCUUCUAUAUACUUCCCACCCAUUACUAUACACCGUUCCAUACGUGUUCUCCAUUAUUCGAAGCAGUGUUGCAACUCUUCAGAUGUCAAGCCCUUAAAUUGGUUUGCCGCUUUAGUCUUCACCUCUUCCACGGAUCGAAAAUAAGUCCCCUUCAACGCAAUUUUUAUUUUUGGAAAUAGAUAAAAGUCGCAGGGUGCUAAAUCUGGCGAAUAUGGAGGAUGCUCGAGUACUGGAAUGCGUUUAUUGGCUGAAAACUGCUUAACAGAAAAAGCAUUUUUGGUACCAUUUUGGCACAGACUUUGUUCAUGUUUAAAUUGUUGUGUACAAUUUGUCGAACUGUUUCUUUGUCUAUAUUUAUCAUAUCUGCAAUCAUACGAAUACUGAGACGACGAUCAUUCGGACAAUUUUGUCAAUUUUGUCGACGUUAUCAGCACUUUUUGAUGUGCAGGGGCGACCAGGAUGCUCGUCGUCUUCCACUUCUUCUCGCCCAUCUUUAAAUCUUUUAUGCCAUUCAAAACCUCGAGUACGUGACAUCGUGUCCUUCUCGUACACAUUAGUCAACAUCUUUAGACAUUCUGUGGGUGAUUUUUUUAAUUUAACAAGAAGUUUUAAAUUAACACGCUGUUCAAUUUUUAAAUUAGGCAUUAUUCCAGCAAUUUCGUACGAUAUUAUCCACUUUAAACAACGCGUGAAUGCGAACUAAUUGACCAAAAGAGAUAAAACUGAUAUUUGAUGCGUUGGCUUGUGCAAAUAAUAACUACGAUAUAAUUACCCAUCAGAGAGUUGAUUGCACUCUAAUCAGAAGGAAAACCUGUUUUUAAAUAGCCACAUCUCGUAAAAGUUGCGCAAAGAUAAAAAUAAUAAUAAACAUCUUCGCUACACUCAAAAAUCUAAAAAUACGUUUUAAUAAGUAAAUUAUUUAUAAAAUACUGGACACAUUAAAAUAAAAAAAACUCAAAACUGAGAGUUUCUCUAAAUAAAUUUCAAAAAUCAAAAAUAUUCAUAAUUUUUCAAGGUGUUUGUCAAAAUCUUGUGAAAAACGUAUUUUGUUACUUUUUUAUAAAAAAAGAGCUGAUACUGGAAAUGGAUGCGGCCACUGUUGUAAGUGGGUAAUGAGGAAGGUGGAAACACAAAGUUAUUUAAUAUAUACUUGUAAUAAACAAUAAACCAUUGAUAACAAAAAAAAUUCGGAGCAAGAUUCGGUUAUAUAUGUUUUAAAAAGCCAUAAUAUUUACAAUUUUCGUUAAAAAUUAAAUUUUAAAACUCUUAAAAAAAAAAAAGAAAAUACUACAUUAAAUUAAUUUGUUUUUUUUUUUUACUACUAAAUACGACUUAUUAUGAACCAGUUCCUAUCAAACUUUCAAGCAUUUCUGUUAAGUCUAACAAUUUAUCUACGGAGUACUUACCAAAAAAAAUUACGUAAAAAACUUGUAAAAUUAAAAUGUUUAUAAAUAGUUCAAAAAUUAUUAAAAUAUUCUAAAAGAUUUACCACGUCUAGAAAAAGUAUAUAUAUAUAAGUUUCUUGUUAACAUGUUAAAUCUACAAAUUCAUGCAACCUGAAUUACAACAAAAAACAAAAUUGAAAAUAAUAAAAGCAUUAUUUUUAUAAAAAUUUCCCAUUGUCUACGUAUUUUUCGGAUUUGCUCAAUUAUUAAAAAAACGACAAAGAAAAUAAAAAAAUUUAAUAAAAUAUUUUGAUAAUUUAAAAUGUUUAAGAUUAUAUUUUUCUACCAGAAAUCUUUGUCCAAAUCCCAAGAAAAUUGUGUCUAGUUUGUGAGUAAAAAAGUUUUUUGAUUUUCUGUAUAGUUUUUCUAAUAUUUACGAAAAAUUGGGGGAAACGUAAGAAAUACGGCAAAGUGUACAAUAUUUGGGUUUUUUAGUUAGAAAUUAUUGUAUAAACCAGUUUUUUGACAAAAUCUAACUUUUUGUAAACGUGGCAGAAUUUUCAAAACAUUUUAGCUAUUUUAAUGCUGUUUAUAGGUAUUUAAUAUUUUCAUGUUUUUACAUGUAUUUUUAUUUGGUAGGUUAUUAAAAUUAUAUGAAUUUAGAUAAAUGCUUGAAAAUUGAACACAAAGUACAUUAUAUGUAAUACACAGUUACCUAAAAAACAAAUUUGAGUUUUAUGCAUUCGUUUUUUUUCAUAAGUAUUUUAAGAUCAAAUUUUGAUAAAAAUUGUAAAAAUUAUGAAAUUUCAAAGUAUGUUUUAUCGAACUUCGGUCCAAAUUGUUUUUUAUUAAGAAUGGUUUAUCACUGCUUACAAAUAUAAAUUAAAUAUUUUUAUGUAUUCUACCUUCUCAAUUUCCCAACUACAAUAUAGUGACUGCACUCGUCCCCAUUAUCAGCUCUUUUUUUAGUAUAGACAAUUAUAGGCUUUACGUAUAAUAGGUAUACGAGACUUAGACGUCGUACGUCUAUUUAAAGCAUACGAUAUAAAAUAUGUAUAGGUUAGUAAAGCAUUAUAUUUAUUAGGUUAACCGCGAAUCAACCAAUUGACCUUCGAUCAGAUAAUAUUAUUGUUAUAACGAAACUCCCCUCCGUAUUAUAUUAUUGUCAGCGGCAAUCUGAAAAUAAGUCGUUUCUAAAUACUGUAGGUUACCCAUAUUAUAAUAUUAAAUAUAUGAAUUAAAAAAACCUAUAUAUUUCUCGGCCACACGCUUAGAAAUAAAAACAUUACGUGUCAGUCAAAAAUUUAAAAAUCUAUAAACUCCUUAAAAUAAUAAUUAUAUAACGAUUUUACGAUAAAAAAUAUAACUUUAAAAAAAAAGUUUAGAUUUAUGAAAUAUGUUUGAGAUAUCAUUCGAUAAUUCAUAUUUUUUAAUUGAAAAAAAUUCAAUCUAUUAUAGGUGUACAAAAUACUAAUAGGUUCACUACUCUGUCAUCGAAAAUGAUAAAAUGUAAUUAUUAUUUACCUAGUUAAUCAUACAACAUUAUAAUAUAUAAAUAUGUUACGUUGACUUCAUACAAAGAAAAUAUGGACUUUUUAUAUAAUAUAGUAAUCCAAUAAUCCAAUUGAAUUUAUUUGAGGAGAUAAGAAAUCUUCUUCUUUGUCAUCACAUUUCUUCAAGAGUUUUUGCCGCCAGCGAAACCUUCCAUUCUUCUCGAUUUGAACUUUUUCUUGCCAAUUUGGCAACCCUAAUUCCUCUGAGUCCUGCUUUAUUCCAUCUAUCCAUCGUUUCUUAAAACUUACUUUAAAGAGGUAACUUUUUGAUUUUCCUCAAAAGUUUUCCCAAUAAAUGGGAAAACCGAGAAAACCGUGGGAAAAACGGGAAAAUAGGUACAAUAUUAAACAAAUAUUAUUAAAGAAAAUACAUAAUGCAUAAUAAAUAAUAAAUUAUUGUUUUUUGUUACCAAUGGUUAACCGCUGCAUACAGAUAUACAUUAAAUUCCCCUGUAUAACCUUCCCAACUUCUCAUAUACAAAAGAGGUUCAUCCAACGUGCGAAGUAUGUCUGUCUAUUUUUUUCAUAAUAUUAUGUAAGUCUUAAUUAUAAUAUUAUUAUAAAAUACAUUAAUAUCGAAAAACAAUCUAACAUAUUAUUGAAAAAACUCUAAUCAUACAGAUAUCAAAUAAAUUAUAAAAAAUAUUAUAUGACGUGUUUACCUAUUGGCUAUUGCUCAUAAUAAUAUAUUAUCGUAAAACGCAAUAACCAGAUUGAUUUGACCAUACAGAUCUAUGGAUGCAACCCAAUAUUUUACAUACAGGUUAGCCAAAGUGCAUGUUUGUGAAUUACCACAUUGUUGAUUUUUUCCUCGAGAAUAGAAAAUAUACGAUUAUCGUAAUAUUAUUUUACUUGUAUUGUAGGUACCUACUUUUAUGUAUUUUUUUUAAGGCUAUAAUUGAUAAGAAGUAAAACAUAACAAUCUUAUUCAAAAUAAACGUUGGUAUUUGUUAUUUUAUAUUAUUGUUUAUUAUAAUAUAUUAUGUAAAUAUACUGAAUAUGCACAUGACCGAUGGCGUUUUUUCACUAGAAAUCGUCUAUCUAUAUAAUUUGUUGGAAUUUAGGUAGGUAUCUAAUAGAUUUUUCGAGAGAACUAAAAAUAGUUUCUUUAAGUAGUAAUUUUCUUUUUUAAAUAAUAAUAUAAUAUACAACAUAUAUUUAACGUUUUUCAGGACAAUUCCGAUCCGAUGAAGAUUAUUCGAAAACGGCCAGACGAAAGUAUUACGUACACAUGGACCAACAUAAACGUGUACACGAAAAACGGCAAAAGCCGAAACUUUUACGAAACGUUGACAUCUUGUUGUGUGAAUGCCGUUCCAAAAAAGUUGCAAAAGAAACAAUUACUGAAAAAUGGUGAGUUUAGCUUCUAUGGGCACCAGAUUUAUAAUAUAUGUUGCUCAUCUCCGUAUUAGUUAUGGACUCUACUAGAAUACAACUUUUGGGAUUACUAGAAUCUUAUAUUCUUAUAUACACAAUGAAGCCGUGAGGUUAUUGUCCCUACACUUUUAACACAUUAUUCGAAAAUACCUGAUGCUGCAAACAGAUGUGCCACUAUUGUAGGUGAGAAGUUGGGAAGGUAGGAUGCAUAAAAUUAUUUUAUGUAUAUAUGUACGCAACGAUAAAUUAUUGCUGACGAAAUACGGUUCUGAGCAUAGGCGUCCUAGACGUCCUAGGCGUCCUAUUUGCACCUAGUAAAAAAAAUAAUAUUAACUGAUAAUUUUAAUAAAUUAAAAUUUAAACUUUCAUUAAACACAUAUUUUAAAAAAUUGUUUUAAUUUGAAACCCCGUUUUAAAUUUCACCUUUAGAGGCGUCCAUGAUACUGAGCGAGUUUGAUAAAAAAAGGUUGUAAUUUUUAAAUUUUCGUCAACAAUUUAACUUAAAACGUUUUUAAAAAUCUACUAUAUUACGCUCAAUAUAUUUUUAUCAUACAAUAUAACUUAUGAUAUGUGGCCUGUUGGUGGUUUUAGGUGCUGUAGGUGACUCAAUACCUAAAAGUUCUUUAGAAUCUGUCACAAUUUUUAAAAUUACGUAUGCCUAUCAAGAUAAGAUAAGAGUACGCGAUUUUCUGGUUAUUUUAUUAUUUUAUAUAUAAUAGUUAUAAUUUAUUAUAUAUAUAUAUAUAUAAAUUAUAUAUUACAAUAUAAUAUUAGAUACCAAUCUAGAUAAUUGUACAUACCAAACGCAUUUUUGUAAAAUUGUAUCACAAAAAUUUAUCUUCACUCUACAAAAUAAUUCAGUAAUAUAUAUAUUUGUCUAAUGUAAUCCUAACUAAUAAGUCUUUUUUCUUGUUUUUAAUACCUGCAUAAUAAAUCGAAAACUAUAAAUAUAUCAUUAUUAUUAUUACAGUGAGCGGUUCGGCGCGACCGGGCGAACUUUUGGCUUUGAUGGGGUCUAGUGGUGCUGGAAAAACAACCUUGUUGAAUUCGUUAACUUUUAGAAGCGACCGUAACGUGACCGACACCGGAAUCCGGGCCAUCAACGGCGUACCAAUCAACGGCAAAAUGUUGACUGCCGUGUCCGCGUACGUACAACAACACGACCUGUUCAUUGGGACUCUAACAGUCCGGGAACAUUUGGUUUUUCAGGUGAGAAUCGUUUAACUUUUUAAAAAAAAAAAAAACACUCUAUGAUGGUAUCAGUGUUGUAUAAUGCUUCAAAAUCAAAAAGCGGGUUAAAACUAAAAUAUGUAAUCUGAUUUUAAUCAUCGAUUAGUUGGUGAAUUUCGCUCACAGCGUAUAAUGAAAUAAUUUUUAUGAAUUGAGUCCAAAAAGAUAAAAUUAUACUUAUCUAUUAAUUUUGUACUAAAACGUUUCUAAACUUGAUCGCAAAACGAGCAAAAUAUUCAAGUACCUAAUUCAGAAUCGACUGAAAAACAACUUUUCGAUUAUCUACAGCAUUGGUGACCAAUUACGGUCCACGAGGCCAAUCCAACCCAUGAUCAUUAUUAAUCAGCCAACCAAAGUAUUGAAUCAAAAUUGAAAAAAGAAUAUAACUUCAAAUUUCAAAAAUUAACAUUAACAUUAAAAAAGGACAUGUUUAUACUUUAAAUUUUUUUUCUUAUUUAUAACAAUCAAUAUAUAAUAAAUAAUUAAAUAUAUCACUGUACCCAUAUUAAAAUGUACCUACAGUAAAUUAUAAUAUUCUAUUAACUUUAAAGUAAAUGUUUUAAUUCUUGGCUCACCAAGAAUUAUUAUUAUUUUUUUGUUAUGUCCCUCUGUAAAAAAGGGUUGGUCAUCUACACUGAUCUACAGCAACGAUUCCCAACGUGUGAUCCACGGCACCCUGGGGCACCUCGAUUAGGUGUAGGGGCACGGUGUAACCAUUUUGAAUAUUUACUGGUUUAAAAAUAAAUUUAAAACUCAAAUCACAAAUCGAUUUUAUUUACCUUGGUUACCUUUGGCUACACAAUGAGAUAAACACCGCUUUACAAAAAGUCGUCUGAUCAGAAUAAGUUUUUGAUUGUAAUAAAACGACAAAUAUUUACGGCGUGCAGCAACGUUACCGAUUUCAUUGUUUUUAAUUUUUGCCAACUAUGUUUUCUACUAGGAAUAUUGCUUUAUUCAAAAAUUACCAAGUAAACUUUUUUGUACCAUUUCGGAUCUAAUUUUUCACGAUGCAGGUAGUUUUUUAUGCUUCCUGUAUUUUUUUUUUAGUAACUGAGAAUAAAACAAAUAAAAAUUGUAAAGAGAACUAACGAAUUAAUGAAAAUUAUGCUUUUAUUAGUUUCAAUUUUGUUUUUUUGUUGUGAUUCAUUUUAAAAUAUUGACAGAAAAAUUAAAUUUGCCUUUUCUAUACAUAGUAAAAUUAUUUAAAUAUUUUCUCGAUUUUUGAGAUAUUUAUAAGCAUUUUAUAUUUGUAAGUUUUUUACGUAAUUUAUAUUUGGUAAGUACUCUGUGGAUAAUAUUUUUUGACUAAACAGAAAUGUUUGAAAAUUUAACAGGAAAGAGAUUCAUUAUAAGUUGUAAUUAAUAGUAAAAAAAAAGUUAAGUGUAAUGUAGUAUUUUUUUUUUUUUAUAUAUAUAUAUAAGAAUUUUAGUAUCGGAUUUUAACGAAAAUCGUUAAUAUUACGGCAUUUUAAACAUGUUUAACAGAACUCUACUCAGAAUCGUUUUUCGUUACCAAUAGUUUAUCGUUAUUCAGAGAUUGUUAAAUAACUAUGUAUUUUAACUUCCUAAGGUACAACUUACAAUACACCUGUCCUCAAGAUCGGUUCUUUUUUUUUUAAAUGGAUGUCUACAACUCAACUUUGAUAAUAAUAUAAUAUUGUAAAAAUAUCAUUAAUCUGUUGAUAUCUUGUUGAUACAGAUUGAAACAAAAACCAUUUAUAUUAUUUAUAUCAUUAAAUCUCUAGGUAUGUAAAAGAAUGAUGUUAUUAAUAUUUAUGUUGUCGCUUUUAAAGUGUUAUUCUGGAAAUAUAAAUAUACUUAAUAGUUUAUUUUGUAUGACUAAUUUUAAUAUUUAUUGCAUAAUAUGAAUGUAACACUAAUUUUAGGUUAGUUUUUGAAAUUCUCAAACAAUAAUAGGCACGAACUUUGCUUUUGUUUAUGGAUAACUCUGAUCUAUUGCUAUGGUGGGAUCUGUUAGCAGUGUUUGUGAUACCAUACCUUUCCAACUUUUUACCUACAACUGUUACCAUAUUAUUUUAGAGGGGAAUGUAUAUAUUUAUAAAAAAGUGUAUGCAGGGUUAAGGUGGUGAGGAGUUUAUAGGUAUGAGGAGAUUAGAGGGUGUGAGAAGUUUAAGGUUAAGUUAGAUAAAGGUUGAAUUAGGGGGUUAUAAGUAAGGGGAUGAGGGUACUAAGUAGAUGAAGGGUUAGGAAUAACAUAAACAGGGAACGUAUUGUUAGUUCAGAAAUCAGCAAUAAUAUACAUACUUGCUUAAUUAUUUACUAAUACUUAAUUAUCAAAUAACUACUUAUCUAACUAUUUUCGUUACAAAGCUAUAGACGGACAAAGCCGGGUAAUACAGCUAAUAUUAUUAUUAGGUAUAAAAUGAUAGAAUUAAAAAAAUUCUAGAACCGGUAUUCUACUUAACAUGUAUAUAAAUACACGUUUCGUGUUGGUGAUCCGCGCGCAUGACCUUGUUCAUCUCGUAUAGGUGUAAUACGCUAUUGGACUCUUACGUAAUCGUAAAACUUCCGUUUUGCCACAUUAUUAUAUUGGUUACCGUAUAGUAUAAUAAUGAACUUAAAAAUCAUCAAUUAUAUCAUAUCACACUAUGUCAGAUAAAGAAAUGUUCUAUACGUUUGUCAUCCACCGUGGAAAAAAUGAUGAGAUGCAUUUACGAGUAGGACGUGCCCUAAAUUAUAUAAUAUAUACCUACACGUAGUCGUUUUUCUUAAGUACACUAAUAUCAUUGUCAUUGCGUUAAUUUUUGGGGAUUAUAAUUUUGAACACGUGAUUUUCGACUAUUCAAAUUUUGUAUUUGCAAUAAUUUUAUAUAUUUACUAAUUCCAAAUAAGACAAACAAUGAUAUGAAUUUAAAAAUCAAGUGGUUGUUUUUCAAAGCUAAUAGCCAAGUAAGCAAUAUCGGAAUUUUCUCUAUUCGUAACUAUAGUAAAUAGUAAUUGAAUUUCAAAAAGUACGAGUAAUAUUAACGAUCAACACUUGUAUAAUACCGAGAUUUAAUGUGUCAGUGACCGCAGUUAACCUGUACGUCGUCGUUUCCACGCCGGUUUCUUGUUCUUUUUAAAUUAACGUAAACCAGUGUUAUUAUGUAUAUAUACUUAUUUAAAUACAUUUUAUAACUUUUUUUUCUGCCUAGUAUAUUAUAUGAUUUAAACGCAUUUAUCCGAAUAUUUAAAAUGUAUUUUCUACAUCUAAAAGAUUAUAUAAGAUUAUAUAAAUUACCUAUAAUACCUAUGCCAAAUAUUUUAGAACUUCAAACCUACAUGUAGCUAUGGCCUAUUAUUAUUAAUAGCUAAACAAUAUUACUAACGACAAAUAAUAAUAUAGGUAUAUCUAAUAAAUAAUACAGUAAAAUGUUUCAAAUUAAAUUUAUUAUAUGAUUAAAUAUUAAACAAAUAUGUUUUUAUUUAGACAGAUAAGAUAUGGCUAAGAGUCAAAAGUCAAUUUUUGAAAAUGUUACGCCACUUAUAGUGAUUAAUACUUUUGGAAAAAUAUUAAUGUAUAUUUUACUAAAUACCUAAAUAUCUAAAAAAUUUAAUCGGAAUUUUAUAAACCUAUAUUUAAUAUUAUACUCGUAAUCAUAUAUCAUAUUAUUUAAAUACAACUAUUAUUUGUUAUAUUGUACUUAAUUUAUAAAUGCAAAAAAUAUACAAAAAUAAAUAAUUGUAUUUACCUUAAUAUUUUUCUUUUUCAUUUUGAAAUUUAAUUAUACUAUGUAAUAAUAAUAGUCUCAAAUAAGCAAUAUAAAUAUUGUUAUUGAAAUUUAUUUUUUUUUUUUAACUCUUAUAACUGCAGGCAUUGGUGCGAAUGGACCGUCACAUACCGUAUGAAAAACGAAUGGCUCGAGUCGAAGAAGUCAUACAAGAGGUCAGUAUCAUAAAAAACAUUGGUGUGUACAAUUACACAUUCAAUAAUAAUUUUAUUGUAUUUUUACUCUAUCUGCAGCUAUCGUUGACAAAAUGUAAAAACACAAUAAUAGGUGUGACCGGAAGAAUAAAGGGUUUAUCAGGCGGUGAAAUGAAACGUUUGUCGUUUGCUUCCGAGGUAAGAAACAAUCGUAUAAGACAAAAAAUAAUAUUUUCAAUUAACAUUACUACGAUGCACAAUAUCAUAACAACUGGCAGUAUUUUUCGCAUGAACAAUAAGAAAACUACAACACGUCAACACAACGAUGUGAUAUUAUUAUUUUAUAACAUUUUAACAUUGUAUUCAAAAAUCAACUACCUAUACCAAUACACUUUAAACUGUUUAUAAACGACGAGUAUAACAAAAAUAUAAACAUUAUAAUAUUCUAUAGACGCAGGCGAGGAUUUCGAUUUUAUUUAAAAAAAUGUUGGACACCUCAUACUCGUCUAUUAAAUGGAUAGAUACACUAAAUCAGUAGCGUCCCAAAACCCAUUUAUAAGGGGGGGGGGACGAAAUUCAUACAUUAUAUGUGUAUAUAUAAAUAUAUAAACAAACUAAUUACUAGGUAGUUUACCAGGUUUCACUUGGGGUGUAUAAUAUCAUAUAUGGCAUAUUAUAUAGAUUCGAAAAACAGUGUAAUAAUUAAAAUCAAAAUGUUUAAAAUUGCACGUAUUUAAGUAUAAAUUAAUAAUAGAAGUAAUUUUGUAAUAAAUUGAGAAAACACAAUUUAUAAAUUAUAAGUACUUAUUUACAUCUCAUUUAGAGUUUUAUAAAAAAAAUAGUUGAACCUGAAUAUUUGAUUAAAGAAUGAAAUCGACUUUGUGUUUUAAUUAAUCAAUUAAUUAUAUUAUGUUAUUUGUAUGUAAUAGAAUAUUAUUAUGAAUAUGCAUAAGCACCAAACCGAUCAAUCGUGCUUUCCCUAUUUGAUUUCUCAGCCAAGUUUUUAAUCUAAUAAGCAUAAAAAAACAAGGAAAUAAUUAUAAAGCAAAAACAAAAAUAUGAUAAAAAGCUUAAAAAAUAUAAAUAUAAAUGGUCAAAUAUUCAUUUAACACAUAAAAUUCAUUAUUUAUAAAAGUAUUAACUUUCUUUUGGGAAAUUAGUUCAAAUAUACAAGAAAUUUGAUAGGAUAUUAUAGAUUUCUGGUAUUAAAAUUAUGGGUUUUCAUUUAAAAAUCAAAAGUUGAUACUCAUAUAGGGUAAAACAAGAUAUUAAAAAUAUCAUACCACUAAAAAGUUCAACAUUUUAAUAGUUAAACUAAUUUCCCAAAAGAAAAUUCCAAAAAAGUGAAUUAUAUUCAAAUGAAUGUUGUGUUGUAUCAGUCUGUCUGUACCUAUAUAGGUAUGUGUAGCUCAUAAUGGAUAUGUUUCUGUGUUUUAAGUUUAAUAAAUCUAGUUAUUAUAAUAUUUAAUACUCAGUGGGCAUUAUACAUUUUCUAAUUAUUUUACAUAAUAAGUAAAACUUCUGUUUAGUUCAAUAAAUAACACAUUUUUAAACUAUUUUAUUAAACUACAACUUUUAAUACAACAUUUAAGUAAUUUAACAAACUAUUUAUUAAGCCCAAGGGAAUCACUGAUCGCGAAAUACAAGAAAUAAAUAUAAAAUAAAAUACGAUAAUAGUGCCUACGUACUUAGAGUGAUUACUGAUCAUCCAAUUAUUAUAACUAGUAUAAUGUUAGAAAAACGUUAUAUUAUUAUUUGUAUUUUUUCAUAAAAAUUGUCUAUAUAAAAUCCCUUAAAAAUUGUUCUCCAUGUAGAGGCUGACAAAUUUGUGAUAGAAUACAGUUUUUAUAAUAUCAAUCUAAUAUAGGUGUUGACAGACCCUCCGUUGAUGUUCUGUGAUGAGCCCACGUCGGGACUAGACUCGUUUAUGGCUCAAAAUGUAGUUAGCGUACUUAAGUCGAUGGCGUCUAAGGGCAAAACGAUAAUUUGUACCAUUCACCAGCCGUCUUCAGAAGUAUACUCUAUGUUCGACAAGAUAUUGUUGGUGGCCAGCGGCCGAACGGCCUUUCUUGGUACACCAAACGAAGCCAUCGAGUUUUUCAAAACGUAAUAGUAAUAUAAACAGUUGAGGUAAUAACAAUAUUUAUUUUUGUUCGGUUUUUCGUAGGCUCGGCGUCAGUUGCCCGAAGAAUCACAAUCCAGCGGAUUUUUUCAUCCAACUACUCGCCAUCGUACCGUCUCAAGAGCGGUGCUCGUACGACACCAUCGACACGGUUUGCGAGGCGUACGAAAGUUCGCAAUACAAGCGCGACAUGAUAGAAUAUCAAAAACGGUUGUCUUCGAAUGGCAGGGUAAGAUUCUAUAAAUUAUGACUUCGGGGGGGAGGGGAGCAAAAUAAUAUAGCCCUUUCUCGACUUAAAAGUCAGCACUUGAUAACACAAAAUAAAUAAAAAAUUGGACAUAUUUUUGUGAAAUAUAAUCUUCUCAUAAUUCUUCUCAUUUACCUUCAUCCCAACUGUUUAGGAUCGGCCAUUCUAGUCUUAUACUUCCACAUGAGCCGAUCUUAUAUCACUCAUCAACCGGCUGUCCUCAUACCAUUCUUAGUCGCAUCUAACUACUUUUUUUCGAUCUUCCUCUCUCCUUCUUUCCUCCUGCGUCUAUUUUCAUUACAAUUCUUACUGCUUCUGAUUCCUCUCUCCUUAUGGCUGCCCAAACUUUUUCAUUCUAUUUUCUCUAAUUUUGUCCACUAUCUAAGCUAUACCUAAGUUACCUCUUGUCUACUCAUUUAUUAUACUAUCUGCUCUUAUAACUCCACUUAUUUACCUAAGCAUUUUUAUCUCUGCUACACUUAUUAUCUCUUCUAUUUUAUUAUCGACCGCUCUAUACUCCAAACCAUACAACAUAGUCGGUCUCACCACGGUUUUGUAGAACUUACCUUAUAAGUCUUAUUGGGAUUCUCUUAUUACAUGAAAUGGCAGACGUUAGACUUACCCAACCACACUUAAACUUAUAUUUCACAUCCUUGUCAAAGUUACCGAUCUUUCGUACAAAAUAUCCUAGGUACUUAAAUACUAUCAUGUAUUACUUAUUGUUGUUAACUGUCUUGUCCUAUUGUUACAAACUCAUACUCUUAAUACUUUGUUUUACAACUACUUAUUCUUAGUAUCUUUUAUACAAGUGCUACUCUCCAUUCCACAAGCCUAUUACUAACUUCUUUCGAAUUUUCUCCUAUCAAAGCUAUAUCAUCUGCAAACAUCAUGCACCAUCUUCUCAUUUGCUGUUCUCGCUUACACCCGAGAUAGGAAAACCUACUCAAGUCUUGUUUAGAACUCCUCAUACUGUUUGACAGAAUUUUACACCAGCUAUCAACCUGAUGCAAUUCCAUUUGUCGCUUCUUACAAUAAAUAGUGGUCCUGUGGGAGUGUUCUCCUUCAAGGAGAAUGAUAUUUUCAACUAUAAGGUGAAUUCCUCUACCUUACAGAAACAAUAUCAUAUAAAUACUGGAAUCACCCACCUGGAAAUUCCACCAGUUAGAGCUCGGGACCCCGGAUUUACUAAACCCGUAGCAUUAUAUUCCCCUCGUGUGGUUAAAUACCUGUAUAUAUAAUACUAGCUGAAUUACCUGGCGUUACAGUUAGCAUUCAGUUAUGAAUCAGUCAAGACUUCUUCUUUUAACCUUACCUAACCUAACCUUACAUAUACAGAUAUAUAUUAUUAUUAUUUGUGACAACCAAAUUAUCAACUAUGUCAUCAAGGUAACCUUUAAAUCAACAAAUAAAAUUGAAUUAAUGUUCCAAAAUUACCAAAAAUCCAACUGCCGGCUAGGUGUGCCAUCCGACGUUUUCCGGACCAAUUUUUUUGUUAUUUCAUCUGUUUCACCAAUGAUCAUCGUCUCGUGAUUAAACUAAAAUAAAUAAAUAAAAAUUAGAUAUCCGUACAAAAAAUACCUUAAAAUUCUUAAUUUACCACCUUAGGGGUUAAAUUUUCAAAAACCCUUUCUUAGUGGAUGCCUGCAUCAUAGUAAUAGUUAUCUGUAUUCCGAAUUUCCGCCCAACCCAUCUAGUGCAGUGGUUUGUGUUCGACGAAGAUGAAUCAUUCAAUCAGGACAUGUUAUUUAUAAAUAAAUAAAUAUAUAUAUAUAUAUAUAGAGAGAGAGAUGUAUAUUAUAUGUAGACAGUAAGAAUCACAAUGCCAAUUAUGAUGAAAUAAUCUUAAGAAUUACUUUAUAGUUUAUAAAGAAUACAAUAAUUUUUAAAAUGUUAUAUUGUAAACACGUUGAACAAAAAAAAAAAAAAAAAAAACAAUUUAAUACCAAUUCAUUUUUUGUAACUCAAUAAGUUUUUUUUCUUUGCAGGAUUCGUUGGAUAAAAGUAAUUGGGACUCAGAUGGUUUACAAAACGUUUCGUCACCGUACAAGGCCUCAUGGACUGAACAGUUUUCCGCCGUGUUUUGGCGGUCGUGGCUAAGUAUAAAAAAAGAACCGGCUCUCACCAAAAUCAGGCUCAUCCAAACUAUUGUAAUAAUGAUAUGUGGAAAGGAUCUCGACUUUAUCUAAUCCCCGAUGCGUUAUUUUUUAGAUGGUUGCCGCUCUGAUAAGUUUCAUAUUUUACAACCAGCACUUGGACCAGGACGGUGUAAUGAACAUCAACGGGGCGCUGUUCAUGUGCAUAUCUAACAUGACGUUCCAAAACGUACUGGCAGUCAUAAACGUGAGUACCAUUAAAUACUAUGGCUAGAAAACAAGAUGUGUGAUUGUGUCAAGUGAUUAAAUGGAUGAGGAAGAAGUGGUUAUGAGGGCACAUGAAGUUUAACAAAGAUAUGAUGAUGGAGAUAUAGAGAUAAGGUAGCUGAUCUCAAACUUAAGUGGGAUAAAGACGAAUUCACUGACUUUAGUUUUUGUUUGAAUGGAUUGUGUAAAAUCAUUUUCCUAUUAUAUUUCCAUGGUAUAACAAGAAUUUCAAAACAUUUUUUUUUUUCUUGGCUUGCGGGUGUUUCCUUCAAAAUACGCUCCCGAGUAUACAAACCUGUGUUUUUACCUCUGCAGGUAUUCUGUUCCGAACUACCAGUGUUCAUGCGUGAACACCACAAUGGCAUGUACCGAACGGACGUGUACUUCCUAAGUAAGACAUUCGCCGAGAUACCUAUAUUCUUGGUGAUACCAGUACUGUUUACAUCCAUCAUGUACUAUAUAGUGGGUCUAAAUCCAAAGUUCGUUCAUUUUCUCACAGCCGUCUUAUUCAUAACGCUCGUCAGUUUGGUAGCCGUUUCGUUUGGUAAGUGUAUAAUUUCGGCCCAAACCUAACCUAACCUUGUAGGUACUGGUCAACGUUAGAUUGCAAAAAUACCCGAGCACAAAAUAAAAUAAAACUGCGUAUACAUACGCUUAAAUCUAUUGUAGUUUUAUAAUUCUUAUUAUGAUGUACGUUUACAGGUUAUUUCGUGUCGUGCGCAAGCGGUAACAUAUCAGUAGCGCUUUCUGUAGGACCCACGAUCGUCAUACCUUUCCUGUUGUUCGGAGGUUACUUUCUGAAUGUCGGGUGAGUACCUAUGUAGUAUAUAAUGCACAUAGUCAAUCGAUUGACUCUUAUACCUAUCGUGAUAUCCUCUACAUAGUCAAUUUACUGUAUCACGUACACCCUAAGUCCCGACCUAUAGAAUAUUGUAUAGUCGAAUAAAUAAUAUAACCUAUUAAUUUGGGUUCAAGAUCGAUUCCGUCCUACUUCCGAUGGUUGAGUGUAUUUUCGUGGUUCAAGUACGCCAACGAGGGACUUCAGAUUAACCAGUGGGCGGACAUCGACAAAAUCCAGUGCAACAGAGUUAACACCACAUGUCCGAGUUCCGGAUACGCUGUCUUGGAAUCAAAUAAUUUUGUAGAGGUAAAGGAAACAAAAAUACCAGUUACACUUUUACUUCUUUUCUUUCUUAUUUUUUUACGGGGAAAUUUUUUAUUUAAGAAAUUAUUUAUGCAUUUCCAACCAUUAAAAGGCAUUCCAAAGGAAACGACGUCAAUUAAAUGAAACUAAUAAAGUCGUGAUAAUCGUUGGUCAAGAUGAGUGGUGGCACUGUUAAUGGUUAUUAAAUGGUAACAGUCACUGUUGAGAUUUUCAAUAGUCACAUGGUUUUUUUUAACUAUAAUGUAUUUACCUAAGUAAUACAUCUUGACUUGACAUUUAUUUUGAUUCUUCCAUUCCUUGAUACAUUGAAUUACCUAUUAUAAAACACGCGAAUAGUCUUAAUUCGUCUGUUCAUGGAAUUAACGGCCACCGAUCGGUCCGUUAUUUGCAUUUUCUAUUUUCAUGGAAAACCUUCGUAAUUGUCCCCGCGACGACGACGGUCCUUCUGUACUUACAUAGCAUUUAUAUUUUAAUUAUUUUUAAAUGCUAUUGAAGUUGAUUCAAUAAACAGGUUAUAAAAUAUAAAUUAACGUUUUAUCAGUUUGUUUUUUUUUUUUGUUUUUAGUCAAACCUCACCAUGGACAUAAUUUCGUUGUUCCUGUUGAUCGUCGUAUUCCGAUUCUUGGCGUAUCUAUCUCUGCUAAUCAGAGCAUCCAGAAAGUAACUGACCAACCUGAUCGAUAUACAUAUAAUAAUAAUAUAUGAUAAUAUUAUACUCGCACACACAUCACACACAUACACACAUUUAAUAUGUAAUAUAGUACACAUGAAAAUGAUAUAAGCAGUUUACACGGAUUUCACGAAAUAUUCGUAAAAGCCUAAACCGUAUUUUUUAAAGAUUAUUUAAACGGACGCAGCUAUUCGUGUAUCUCGAUCGAGAAAAAUGUACUAUUAUACAUUAUUAUUAUACGCACUUUUUAUAUACGUGCAUUAAGAUCGUCUCGUUUUGUACAUAUAAGUAAUAUUAUACGUUAUUAUUUAAGAUUCCCCAAACAAAUAGGUAUGGUAAUAAUAAUUCACAUUUAAACUAAAUUCUCAAUAAAAGGAAAACACUAUAUUAUAUUAUCCUUAUGUAAUAUAGUAUUUUACGAACUCCUUGCCAUCAUAAUAUUAUCAUUUAUUAUCGUCAAACAGCAAAAUACGAGUCCAUUAAAUAUAUUUAUGAAAUUUAUUUUUAAUAUUAAUUAUAAGUAAAAAUGAUUCCAUAUGGACCAGAUGCGUCCCUUCUCCCUCCCCCCGGAUGUAAAAUUCUCACGGGGAAAUAAUAAACAUUAUAACACCUAUAACCUACUCUCAGUUUUACAUUUUUAUUAAUUUUUGUAUAUAUUACCUAUUAUAUAGGUAUAAUCAGUCCACGUAACACGACACGUCAAUAUUUAAUUUUAAUUUUAUAAGUAAACAUACAUAUAAAUAUUUUUUUUAGGCAUUGUUGUUCGUUUGAUGAUUUUUAUUUUGUUUGUUCUCAUAUACCUUAUACCUAAAUUAAAAUAUUUGUAAUAAAAUUAUAAUACACGUGUUAAGCAUUUAUAUACAUGAACGAUUCUAUUAUUUGUAGUGUUUAUAUUAUAUAGGUAUACUAUACUAUACAAUUACUGUUGUUAAAUUAUUAUUAUAUUGUAACAAGCGUGCGAUUUCGUAAAUUUAUUAUAAAUCAUUGUAAAGUACCAUUG
Molecule: non-coding RNA, 22132 nt
Organism: Cinara cedri
Lineage: Eukaryota; Metazoa; Arthropoda; Insecta; Hemiptera; Aphididae
Source: the annotation of a GenBank genome assembly